Molecule: ribosomal RNA, 1599 nt
Filed under: Salmonella enterica subsp. enterica serovar Typhimurium
Lineage: Bacteria; Pseudomonadati; Pseudomonadota; Gammaproteobacteria; Enterobacterales; Enterobacteriaceae
Description: partial 23S ribosomal RNA
Rfam family: Bacterial large subunit ribosomal RNA
Source: RNAcentral
CCGUACACAAAAGCGCAUGUGCUGUGAGCUCGAUGAGUAGGGCGGGACACGUGGUAUCCUGUCUGAAUAUGGGGGGACCAUCCUCCAAGGCUAAAUACUCCUGACUGACCGAUAGUGAACCAGUACCGUGAGGGAAAGGCGAAAAGAACCCCGGCGAGGGGAGUGAAAAAGAACCUGAAACCGUGUACGUACAAGCAGUGGGAGCACCCUUCGGGGUGUGACUGCGUACCUUUUGUAUAAUGGGUCAGCGACUUAUAUUCUGUAGCAAGGUUAACCGUAUAGGGGAGCCGGAGGGAAACCGAGUCUUAACCGGGCGUUAAGUUGCAGGGUAUAGACCCGAAACCCGGUGAUCUAGCCAUGGGCAGGUUGAAGGUUGGGUAACACUAACUGGAGGACCGAACCGACUAAUGUUGAAAAAUUAGCGGAUGACCUGUGGCUGGGGGUGAAAGGCCAAUCAAACCGGGAGAUAGCUGGUUCUCCCCGAAAGCUAUUUAGGUAGCGCCUCGUGAAUUCAUCUCCGGGGGUAGAGCACUGUUUCGGCUAGGGGGCCAUCCCGGCUUACCAACCCGAUGCAAACUGCGAAUACCGGAGAAUGUUAUCACGGGAGACACACGGCGGGUGCUAACGUCCGUCGUGAAGAGGGAAACAACCCAGACCGCCAGCUAAGGUCCCAAAGUCAUGGUUAAGUGGGAAACGAUGUGGGAAGGCCCAGACAGCCAGGAUGUUGGCUUAGAAGCAGCCAUCAUUUAAAGAAAGCGUAAUAGCUCACUGGUCGAGUCGGCCUGCGCGGAAGAUGUAACGGGGCUAAACCAUGCACCGAAGCUGCGGCAGCGAACGUAUCACCCAAGACAACUUUACGGAGUUGACGAUUGACGGAGCGAAGCGACGUCAAAGCGUUCAUUAAAGUCGAGUUGGCUUAGGGAUACGUUCGUUGGGUAGGGGAGCGUUCUGUAAGCCUGUGAAGGUGUGUCGUGAGGCAUGCUGGAGGUAUCAGAAGUGCGAAUGCUGACAUAAGUAACGAUAAAGCGGGUGAAAAGCCCGCUCGCCGGAAGACCAAGGGUUCCUGUCCAACGUUAAUCGGGGCAGGGUGAGUCGACCCCUAAGGCGAGGCCGAAAGGCGUAGUCGAUGGGAAACGGGUUAAUAUUCCCGUACUUGGUGUUACUGCGAAGGGGGGACGGAGAAGGCUAUGUUGGCCGGGCGACGGUUGUCCCGGUUUAAGCGUGUAGGUGUGUGUUCCAGGUAAAUCCGGUUCACUUUAACACUGAGGCGUGACGACGAGGCACUACGGUGCUGAAGCAACAAAUGCCCUGCUUCCAGGAAAAGCCUCUAAGCAUCAGGUAACACGAAAUCGUACCCCAAACCGACACAGGUGGUCAGGUAGAGAAUACCAAGGCGCUUGAGAGAACUCGGGUGAAGGAACUAGGCAAAAUGGUGCCGUAACUUCGGGAGAAGGCACGCUGACACGUAGGUGAAGUGAUUUACUCAUGGAGCUGAAGUCAGUCGAAGAUACCAGCUGGCUGCAACUGUUUAUUAAAAACACAGCACUGUGCAAACACGAAAGUGGACGUAUACGGUGUGACGCCUGCCCGGUGCCGGAA